UGACGGGGACCCGCACAAGCGGUGGAUGAUGUGGUUUAAUUCGAUGCAACGCGAAAAACCUUACCCACCUUUGACAUGGCAGGAAGUUUCCAGAGAUGGAUUCGUGCCCGAAAGGGAACCUGCACACAGGUGCUGCAUGGCUGUCGUCAGCUCGUGUCGUGAGAUGUUGGGUUAAGUCCCGCAACGAGCGCAACCCUUGCCAUUAGUUGCUACGAAAGGGCACUCUAAUGGGACUGCCGGUGACAAACCGGAGGAAGGUGGGGAUGACGUCAAGUCCUCAUGGCCCUUAUAGGUGGGGCUACACACGUCAUACAAUGGCUGGUACAGAGGGUUGCCAACCCGCGAGGGGGAGCUAAUCCCAUAAAGCCAGUCGUAGUCCGGAUCGCAGUCUGCAACUCGACUGCGUGAAGUCGGAAUCGCUAGUAAUCGCGGAUCAGAAUGUCGCGGUGAAUACGUUCCCGGGUCUUGUACACACCGCCCGUCACACCAUGGGAGCGGGUUCUGCCAGAAGUAGGUAGCCUAACCGUAAGGAGGGCGCUUACCACGGCAGGGUUCGUGACUGGGGUGAAGUCGUAACAAGGUAACCAAGGGC
Molecule: ribosomal RNA, 592 nt
Filed under: uncultured bacterium
Lineage: Bacteria
Description: bacterial SSU rRNA
Rfam family: Bacterial small subunit ribosomal RNA
Source: RNAcentral